AACGAACGCUGGCGGCAGGCUUAACACAUGCAAGUCGAACGCCCCGCAAGGGGAGUGGCAGACGGGUGAGUAACUCGUGGGAACAUACCCUUUUCUACGGAAUAGCUCUUGGAAACUGGAAUUAAUACCGUAUACGCCCUACGGGGGAAAGAUUUAUCGGGGAAGGAUUGGCCCGCGUUGGAUUAGCUAGUUGGUGGGGUAAAGGCCUACCAAGGCGACGAUCCAUAGCUGGUCUGAGAGGAUGAUCAGCCACAUUGGGACUGAGACACGGCCCAAACUCCUACGGGAAGAAGCAGUGGGGAAUAUUGGACAAUGGGCGCAAGACUGAACCAGCCAUGCCGCGUGAGAGAUGAAGGAAUUAGGGUUGUAAAGAUCUUUCACCGAUGAAGAGAAUGACGGUAGUAGGAGAAGAAGACCCGGAUAACUUCGUG
Molecule: ribosomal RNA, 431 nt
Filed under: uncultured bacterium
Lineage: Bacteria
Description: partial 16S ribosomal RNA
Rfam family: Bacterial small subunit ribosomal RNA
Source: RNAcentral